CGAGUGAGUAAUGUCUGGGAAACUGCCCGAUGGAGGGGGAUAACUACUGGAAACGGUAGCUAAUACCGCAUAACGUCGCAAGACCAAAGAGGGGACCUUCGGGCCUCUUGCCAUCGGAUGUGCCCAGAUGGGAUUAGCUAGUAGGUGGGGCAAUGGCUCACCUAGGCGACGAUCCCUAGCUGGUCUGAGAGGAUGACCAGCCACACUGGAACUGAGACACGGUCCAG
RNAcentral lists this ribosomal RNA (227 nucleotides) under uncultured bacterium. RNAcentral describes it as "partial 16S ribosomal RNA". It matches the Rfam family "Bacterial small subunit ribosomal RNA", at positions 103 to 334 of the family's 1533-position model. The record is from RNAcentral.